GAAAUGCGAUAAGUAAUGUGAAUUGCAGAAUUCAGUGAAUCAUCGAAUCUUUGAACGCACCUUGCGCUCCUUGGUAUUCCUUGGAGCAUGCCUGUUUGAGUAUCAUGAAAUCUUCAAAGUAAAUCUUUUGUUAACUCAAUUGGCUUCUACUUUGGUAUUGGAGGUCUUUGCAGCUUCACACCUGCUCCUCUUUGUUCAUUAGCUGGAUCUCAGUGUUAUGCUUGGUUCCACUCGGCGUGAUAAGUUAUCUAUUGCUGAGGACACUGUAAAAGGUGGCCAAGGUAAAUGCAGAUGAACCGCUUCUAAUAGUCCAUUGACUUGGACAAUACUUUUAUGAUCUGAUCUCAAAUCAGGUAGGACUACCCGCUGAACUUAAGC
RNAcentral lists this unclassified non-coding RNA (378 nucleotides) under plant metagenome. RNAcentral's name for it is "partial contains 5.8S ribosomal RNA, internal transcribed spacer 2, and large subunit ribosomal RNA". The stretch from base 1 to 105 matches the Rfam family "5.8S ribosomal RNA", at positions 50 to 154 of the family's 154-position model. The record is from RNAcentral.